This 253-nucleotide ribosomal RNA is filed under the name uncultured bacterium. RNAcentral's name for it is "partial 16S ribosomal RNA". It matches the Rfam family "Bacterial small subunit ribosomal RNA", at positions 524 to 776 of the family's 1533-position model. The record is from RNAcentral.
UACGAAGGGGGCUAGCGUUGUUCGGAAUUACUGGGCGUAAAGCGUACGUAGGCGGAUUGUUAAGUGAGGGGUGAAAUCCCGAGGCUCAACCUCGGAACUGCCCUUCAUACUGGCAAUCUUGAGUCCGGGAGAGGUGAGUGGAACUCCUAGUGUAGAGGUGAAAUUCGUAGAUAUUAGGAAGAACACCAGUGGCGAAGGCGGCUCACUGGCCCGGAACUGACGCUGAGGUACGAAAGCGUGGGGGGCAAACAGG